RNAcentral lists this ribosomal RNA (250 nucleotides) under uncultured archaeon. RNAcentral describes it as "partial 16S ribosomal RNA". It matches the Rfam family "Archaeal small subunit ribosomal RNA", at positions 474 to 723 of the family's 1478-position model. The record is from RNAcentral.
CACCGGCAGCUCAAGUGGUGGCCAUUAUUAUUGGGCCUAAAGCGUUCGUAGCCGGCCUGAUAAGUCUCUGGUGAAAUCCUAUAGCUUAACUAUGGGAAUUGCUGGAGAUACUAUCAGGCUUGAGGUCGGGAGAGGUUAGGGGUACUCCCAGGGUAGGGGUGAAAUCCUAUAAUCCUGGGAGGACCACCUGUGGCGAAGGCGGCUAACUGGAACGAACCUGACGGUGAGGGACGAAAGCUAGGGGCGCGAA